GCAGCACAAAGUAGUAUGGCAAAUGGCAC
RNAcentral lists this non-coding RNA (29 nucleotides) under Mus musculus (house mouse). Lineage: Eukaryota; Metazoa; Chordata; Mammalia; Rodentia; Muridae. The record is from RNAcentral.